Molecule: ribosomal RNA, 503 nt
Filed under: uncultured bacterium
Lineage: Bacteria
Description: partial 16S ribosomal RNA
Rfam family: Bacterial small subunit ribosomal RNA
Source: RNAcentral
GAUGAACGCUGGCGGCGUGCCUAAUACAUGCAAGUCGAACGAAGAUCUAGCUUGCUAGAUCUUAGUGGCGAACGGGUGAGUAAUACAUAAAUAAUCUGCCCAUAUGACUGGGAUAACUAUUGGAAACGAUAGCUAAUACCGGAUAGGUUGAUCGGAGGCAUCUCUGAUGAAUUAAAGUAGGAUUUCUACCCAAAUGGAUGAGUUUAUGGCGCAUUAGUUAGUUGGUGGGGUAACGGCCUACCAAGACGAUGAUGCGUAGCCGACCGGGGAGGGUGACCGGCCACACUGGGACUGAGACACGGCCCAGACUCCUACGGGAGGCAGCAGUAGGGAAUUUUCGGCAAUGGGCGCAAGCCUGACCGAGCAACGCCGCGUGAGUGAUUAAGGCCUUCGGGUUGUAAAGCUCUGUUGUAAGGGAAGAACAUUCAGGAUAGGAAAUGAUCUUGAACUGACGGUACCUUACCAGAAAGCCACGGCUAACUACGUGCCAGCCGCCGCCGUAA